GACUGAAAAGGGCAAACCAAUCGAAAGGUUGGGACGCAAAACCACCGGUCUACGGGCGCGAGCCUACGACAGCGGGGUUGCCGGU
Molecule: non-coding RNA, 85 nt
Filed under: Thiotrichales bacterium
Lineage: Bacteria; Pseudomonadati; Pseudomonadota; Gammaproteobacteria; Thiotrichales
Description: c-di-GMP sequence
Rfam family: c-di-GMP-I riboswitch aptamer
About the family: GEMM was predicted in a large-scale screen for bacterial structured RNA regulatory elements.
Source: RNAcentral